AGCGAACGUUAGCGGCGGGCUUAACACAUGCAAGUCGAGCGAGAAAAGGGCUUCGGCCCCCAGUAAAGCGGCGGACGGGUGAGUAAUACAUAGGUAACUUUCCCUUGAGCGGGGGACAACGUUUCGAAAGGAACGCUAAUACCGCAUAAGUUCUUUGAGACUUCGGUCUUGGAGAGGAAAGCUAGGUAGCAAUAUCUGGCACUCGAGGAGAGGCCUGUGUCGCAUCAGCUAGUUGGUGAGGUAAGGCUCACCAAGGCGAAGACGCGUAGCUGGUCUGAGAGGAUGAUCAGCCACACUGGGACUGAGACACGGCCCAGACUCCUACGGGAGGCAGCAGUGGGGAAUAUUGGACAAUGGGCGCAAGCCUGAUCCAGCCACGCCGCGUGAGGGAUGACGGCC
Molecule: ribosomal RNA, 399 nt
Filed under: uncultured bacterium
Lineage: Bacteria
Description: bacterial SSU rRNA
Rfam family: Bacterial small subunit ribosomal RNA
Source: RNAcentral